Molecule: ribosomal RNA, 497 nt
Filed under: uncultured bacterium
Lineage: Bacteria
Description: partial 16S ribosomal RNA
Rfam family: Bacterial small subunit ribosomal RNA
Source: RNAcentral
GAUGAACGCUGGCGGCGUGCCUAAUACAUGCAAGUCGAGCGAACAGACGAGGAGCUUGCUCCUCUGACGUUAGCGGCGGACGGGUGAGUAACACGUGGAUGACCUACCUAUAAGACUGGGAUAACUUCGGGAAACCGGAGCUAAUACCGGAUAAUAUAUUGAACCGCAUGGUUCAAUAGUGAAAGACGGUUUUGCUGUCACUUAUAGAUGGAUCCGCGCCGCAUUAGCUAGUUGGUAAGGUAACGGCUUACCAAGGCAAUGAUGCGUAGCCGACCUGAGAGGGUGAUCGGCCACACUGGAACUGAGACACGGUCCAGACUCCUACGGGAGGCAGCAGUAGGGAAUCUUCCGCAAUGGGCGAAAGCCUGACGGAGCAACGCCGCGUGAGUGAUGAAGGUCUUCGGAUCGUAAAACUCUGUUAUUAGGGAAGAACAAAUGUGUAAGUAACUAUGCACGUCUUGACGGUACCUAAUCAGAAAGCUACGGCUAACUACGUG